CACGUUGAUAGGCCGGGUGUGGAAGUGCGGCAACGCAUGAAGCUUACCGGUACUAAUAGCUCGAUUGGCUUGAUCGUUCUCAUU
RNAcentral lists this ribosomal RNA (84 nucleotides) under Rhizobium leguminosarum. RNAcentral describes it as "partial 23S ribosomal RNA". It matches the Rfam family "Bacterial large subunit ribosomal RNA", at positions 2849 to 2925 of the family's 2925-position model. The record is from RNAcentral. Lineage: Bacteria; Pseudomonadati; Pseudomonadota; Alphaproteobacteria; Hyphomicrobiales; Rhizobiaceae.